ACUUGGGGUGAAUAGUAUUUAACAUUAUACCCUUGAAUUAAUGGUCUUGUUAUCUUCUUUCCUUAGGCUUUUAUAGUGGGUCCAAGCCCAUCUUCCUCAUUGAUCCAUGCUUGGACAAAGAGUUGAAAGGUUUAUUGUAAUCUUUUAGCUCUCCCCCUUGUAAUGGGCCCAAUUGGAAUUGAGAUAUCUUUUCUGCCAACUUGAUCCAUAUCCACGCUCACAUCAUCCCCUCCCUCUUCAAAAAGAUUCAUUCUCGAAUCUAGGCCUACAUAAAAAAAAAAGAAAUGUCAGAUACAUUAAAUAUAGCAAACACAUCGUACUCACCUAGGAGAUAAAUUUUAUAGGCAUUGUCAUUGAUAUACU
This 363-nucleotide long non-coding RNA is filed under the name Carica papaya (papaya). Its description in RNAcentral is "long non-coding RNA (CPAP_LNC005129)". Lineage: Eukaryota; Viridiplantae; Streptophyta; Magnoliopsida; Brassicales; Caricaceae. The record is from RNAcentral.